GCGGCGGUCGCAUAGCCUGGCCAUUGCGCUGGAUUGCUAAUCCAGUGGGAUUCGUCCCACGGGGGUUCGAAUCCCCCUCGCCGCGCCA
Molecule: transfer RNA, 88 nt
Filed under: Methanobacteriota archaeon
Lineage: Archaea; Methanobacteriati; Methanobacteriota
Also listed under: 1 other name
Description: Euryarchaeota archaeon tRNA-Ser
Rfam family: tRNA
About the family: Transfer RNA (tRNA) molecules are approximately 80 nucleotides in length. Their secondary structure includes four short double-helical elements and three loops (D, anti-codon, and T loops).
Source: RNAcentral